RNAcentral lists this ribosomal RNA (253 nucleotides) under uncultured bacterium. Its description in RNAcentral is "partial 16S ribosomal RNA". It matches the Rfam family "Bacterial small subunit ribosomal RNA", at positions 524 to 776 of the family's 1533-position model. The record is from RNAcentral.
UACAGAGGUCUCAAGCGUUGUCCGGAAUCAUUGGGCGUAAAGCGCGCGUAGGUGGUGAGUUAAGUCUGUCGUGAAAGCCCCGGGCUCAACCUGGGAAUGGCGAUGGAUACUGGCUCGCUAGAGUGCGGUAGAGGAGAGUGGAAUUCCCGGUGUAGCAGUGAAAUGCGUAGAGAUCGGGAGGAACAUCAGUUGCGAAGGCGGCUCUCUGGACUAGCACUGACACUGAGGCACGAAAGCGUGGGGAGCAAACAGG